This 328-nucleotide long non-coding RNA is filed under the name Mytilus galloprovincialis (Mediterranean mussel). Lineage: Eukaryota; Metazoa; Mollusca; Bivalvia; Mytilida; Mytilidae. The record is from RNAcentral.
UUUUUUUUAUUUUUAUUUUUUUUUAUUAUUUUAAACAAUAUACUUUCCAGUAUUCAAAUAAUUGUUUUGUACACUAUUUUGUAAUGUUUUUCACUGAAAACGUAGCAUUGAGGUGUAUUUUCCGGAAUUGGCCGAGUAUUACCGGAAUGCCAUGUGAUAACGUUACGGAAAGGCAUGUGAUAACAAUCGAAGCAUGUGAUAAACUUUUCAUAUCAGCCCGCUAAGCACCAAUUCGAAAAAUAUGGAAUUUACGUCAAUUUAAUGCUAUUAUCAUACGGUAAAAUUUAUAUGUUAUUUAGUCUAAGUAUAUGAUAAUAGAGUCUAAAAA